Molecule: ribosomal RNA, 482 nt
Filed under: uncultured bacterium
Lineage: Bacteria
Description: partial 16S ribosomal RNA
Rfam family: Bacterial small subunit ribosomal RNA
Source: RNAcentral
AUUGAACGCUGGCGGCAUGCUUUACACAUGCAAGUCGAACGGUAACAGCACUUCGGUGGCUGACGAGUGGCGAACGGGUGCGUAAUACAUCGGAACGUGCCUAGUAGUGGGGGAUAACUACUCGAAAGAGUAGCUAAUACCGCAUGAGAUCUAAGGAUGAAAGCAGGGGACCUUCGGGCCUUGCGCUACUAGAGCGGCUGAUGGCAGAUUAGGUAGUUGGUGGGAUAAAAGCUUACCAAGCCGACGAUCUGUAGCUGGUCUGAGAGGACGACCAGCCACACUGGGACUGAGACACGGCCCAGACUCCUACGGGAGGCAGCAGUGGGGAAUUUUGGACAAUGGGCGCAAGCCUGAUCCAGCAAUGCCGCGUGAAGGAUGAAGGCCUUCGGGUUGUAAACUGCUUUUGUACGGAACGAAAAGCCCUCUUCUAAUACAGGAGGGUCAUGACGGUACCGUAAGAAUAAGCACCGGCUAACUACGUG